This 621-nucleotide ribosomal RNA is filed under the name Aerococcus sp. BPD-6. Its description in RNAcentral is "bacterial SSU rRNA". It matches the Rfam family "Bacterial small subunit ribosomal RNA", at positions 8 to 611 of the family's 1533-position model. The record is from RNAcentral. Lineage: Bacteria; Bacillati; Bacillota; Bacilli; Lactobacillales; Aerococcaceae.
AGAGUUUGAUCAUGGCUCAGGACGAACGCUGGCGGCAUGCCUAAUACAUGCAAGUCGAGCGAACAGAUGAAGUGCUUGCACUUCUGACGUUAGCGGCGAACGGGUGAGUAACACGUAAGGAAUCUACCUAUAAGCGGGGGAUAACAUUCGGAAACGGGUGCUAAUACCGCAUAAUAUCUUCUUCCGCAUGGAAGAAGAUUGAAAGACGGCUCUGCUGUCACUUAUAGAUGACCUUGCGGUGCAUUAGUUAGUUGGUGGGGUAACGGCCUACCAAGACGAUGAUGCAUAGCCGACCUGAGAGGGUGAUCGGCCACAUUGGGACUGAGACACGGCCCAAACUCCUACGGGAGGCAGCAGUAGGGAAUCUUCCGCAAUGGGCGAAAGCCUGACGGAGCAAUGCCGCGUGAGUGAAGAAGGCCUUCGGGUCGUAAAACUCUGUUAUAAGAGAAGAACAAAUUGUAGAGUAACUGCUACAGUCUUGACGGUAUCUUAUCAGAAAGCCACGGCUAACUACGUGCCAGCAGCCGCGGUAAUACGUAGGUGGCAAGCGUUGUCCGGAUUUAUUGGGCGUAAAGGGAGCGCAGGUGGUUUCUUAAGUCUGAUGUGAAAGCCCACGGCUUA